Molecule: long non-coding RNA, 2224 nt
Organism: Orcinus orca (killer whale)
Lineage: Eukaryota; Metazoa; Chordata; Mammalia; Artiodactyla; Delphinidae
Exons: 3
Source: RefSeq, a predicted model, not a curated record
GUGGUUAAGAAUUUGCCUGCCAAUGAAGGGGACACGGGUUCGAGCCCUGGCCCGGGAAGAUCCCACAUGCUGCGGAACAGCUAAGCCCGCGGGCCACAACUGCUGGGCCUGCGUGCCACAGCUACUGAAGCCCACGCGCCUGGAGCCUGAGCUCCGCAACAAGAGAAGCCACCGCGAUAAGAAGCCCGCGCACCGCAGCGAAGAGUAGCUCCCGCUCGCCGCAACUAGAGAAAGCCCACACGCAGCAACGAAGACCCAACACAGCCAAAAAUAAAUAAAUAAAAUAAAAUCUAUCUUUUAAAAAAAAAAAAAAAGGCCCGCCAAGCCCACAGGGCUCUGCUGAAUUUUGUUUUGUUUUGUUUUGUUUUGAUUUGUUUUUACCCUGCUUUGUUCCAAAAAGGAUUGGAGGCAGCUUACAAAAAUACUUAAAAUACAGUAGGACAAAAAAUAGAUCAGAGAGAAAACAAGCCUUGAACAAACAGUACAAUGAACCAAGAGUGUGGUACACAGAAAUGUGCUCAAAGUGGACUGAAAAUUGGGCUCUGAGCUUCCUAUCAGUCAAAGUGAAAAGGGAAAUCCACCCGUUACAAGACUCACGAAGUCUAUGAGGUUGGAACAAUCCCAAAAGAAGCUUUUUCUGACACUGAGGUCUGAGAGGGAUCCCUGUGAGAUCUCUGAAGGGGACAGGGGUGGGGUCCCAGUCAGUGUCUUCAAAACAGUCUCAUAACAGAUAAGGUCAUCAAACCCCAUGAAGCUGCAUUUCCGCUCAGGGUAAAUCAAAGACUUGAUGCAGAUCAAUAAAACCAACUCUGUGGCGCGUCAGACCCAAGCCGUCCAAGUCAUUCAUCCAAGAGAUGCAAUUUAUUUAUUUAUUUACGGCUGCGUUGGGCCUUCGUUGCUGCGCGCGGGCUUUCUCUAGUUGCGGCGAGCGGGGGCUACUCUUCGUUGAGGUAUAUGGGCUUCUCAUUGCGGUGGCUUCUCUUGUUGUGGAGCACGGGCUCUAGGGGCGCAGGCUUCAGUAGUUGUGGUGCAUGGGCUCAGUAGUUGUGGCUCGCAGGUUUUAGAGAGCAGGCUAGAGCUUAGUUGUGGCGCACAGGCUUAGGUGCUCCGUGGCAUGUGGGAUCUUCCCGGACCAGACCUCGAACCCGUGUGUUACUAUGUGGGUAUUAUUUGAGAAGCAGCCACACGGAGGUGGCUUUCUAAUUUCUCAUCCUGGGGUCAGAGUGAGGAGUGUGUUGAGAAGGUCGUCCCACAGUGUGAUGGUAUUAAGAGGCGGGGCCUUGGCGAGGUGAUUAAGUUUAGAUGAGGUCAUGAGCGUGGGGCCCCCAUGAUGAAUUAGUGUCUUGAUAAGAAGAGGAAGAGAGACCAGAACACGUUCUCUAUCUGCCAUGUGAGGACACAGUGAGAAGGCAGCCCUCUGCAAGCCAGGAAGAGAGCCUUCACCAAAAGCCAGCCAUGCUGGUACCUGCAUCUUGGACUUCCAGCCUUCCAAACUGAGAGAACUAAAUAUUUGCUGUUUAUGCCCCGUCCGUGGAUCCCGAGCUGACUGAGACAGUGGGUGAGUCCCCACGUGCUUGGAACCAUUCAUCCAGAUGGGGAGUCGUGGGCCAGAGAUGGAAUUCAAAGCCAAGCGAAGGAGCGAGAGCAAGGGCAGCUGGGUGGAUUUGAUGAACACCCAACAGGAGGGAAGACCCAGUGCUGCCAGCUCCUUCUGUGAGUCCCAAGGCCUCAGAGUCAAGGCCCUUCCCAAGCCCCCAGCUCCUUGAACCUCUUUCAACAGCCGACCUGCCAGAUUCAGCCCUGCAGAACCAGAAGCGGUUUCCCAAAUGCACUGCUGCUGCUGGGAACAUUGUCCUUUACCACCUUGACAACGCUCUACCUGUCACAGCUGUGUUUCUCAUCCUCGCAGAAACCUGUCCUUGCCAUCCAGGUUCUAGGGGAGAAUUUGUUUCCUUGCCUCUUCCAGCUUCUGGAGGCGCCUGCAUUCCUUGCUUCAUGGUUCCACCUUCCAUCUUCAAAGCCAGCAGUGUAGUAUCUUCAAACCUCAAUCUCGGGACUUCCCUGGUGGCGCAGUGGUUAAGAAUCCGCCUGCCAAUGCAGGGGACACGGGUUCGAGCCCUGGUCCAGGAAGAUCCCUACAUGCCGUGUAGCAACUAAGCCCAUGCGCUACAACUAAUGAGCCUGUGCUCUACAGCCCGUGAGCCAAACUACUGAGCCAGCGUGC